This 248-nucleotide ribosomal RNA is filed under the name uncultured bacterium. Its description in RNAcentral is "partial 16S ribosomal RNA". It matches the Rfam family "Bacterial small subunit ribosomal RNA", at positions 529 to 776 of the family's 1533-position model. The record is from RNAcentral.
AGGUGGCAAGCGUUGUUCGGAUUUACUGGGCGUACAGGGAGCGUAGGCGGUUGGAUAAGCCCUCCGUGAAAUCUCCAGGCUUAACCUGGAAAGUGCAGAGGGGACUGUUCAGCUAGAGGAUGGGAGAGGAGCGCGGAAUUCCCGGUGUAGCGGUGAAAUGCGUAGAGAUCGGGAGGAAGGCCGGUGGCGAAGGCGGCGCUCUGGAACAUUUCUGACGCUGAGGCUCGAAAGCGUGGGGAGCAAACAGG